AAAAUCAGUCUAUGUCAUACUUCCAAGAAAAGCUUGCACUGUCAUAAACAAAUAAUGCCUGUACCAUAACCGACACAGGUGGGUAGGUAGAGUAUACUAAGGGGCGCGAGAUAACUCUCUCUAAGGAACUCGGCAAAAUGACUCUGUAACUUCGGGAGAAGGAGUGCCUUAUUUUAUAAGGUUGCAAUAACAAGAUCCAAGCAACUGUUUACCAAAAACACAGGUCUCCGCUAAGUCGUAAGACGAUGUAUGGGGGCUGACGCCUGCCCAGUGCCAGAAGGUUAAAGAAGUUGGUUAGCAUCCGCGAAGCUGAUAACUGAAGCCCUGGUGAACGGCGGCCGUAACAAUAACGGUCCUAAGGUAGCGAAAUUCCUUGUCGGGUAAGUUCCGACCCGCACGAAAGGCGUAAUGAUUUGGAUACUGUCUCAGAGAGGGGCUCGGUGAAAUAGACUUGUCUGUGAAGAUGCGGACUACCUGCACCAGGACAGAAAGACCCUAUGAAGCUUUACUGUAACUUGAAAUUGAAAUUGGACUUUACUUGCGCAGUAUAGGUGGGAGGCGUUGAGAAUAUUCUUGCGGGAAUGUUGGAGCCAUCAGUGAGAUACCACUCUUGUAAUGUUAGAUUUCUAACUUUGUAUCAUUAUCUGGUCAAAGGACAGUUUCAGGCGGGCAGUUUGACUGGGGCGGUCGCCUCCCAAACGGUAACGGAGGCGCACAAAGGUUUCCUCUGAACGGGUAGAAAUCGUAUCUAGAGUGUAAAGGCAUAAGGAAGCUUGACUGUGAGACCUACAAGUCGAGCAGGGACGAAAGUCGGUCUUAGUGAUCUGACGGUGCUGAGUGGAAAGGCCGUCACUCAACGGAUAAAAGUUACUCUAGGAUAACAGGCUGAUCUCCCCCAAGAGUUCACAUCGACGGGGAGGUUUGGCACCUCGAUGUCGGCUCAUCGCAUCCUGGGGCGGUAGUACGUCCCAAGGGUUGGGCUGUUCGCCCAUGAAAGCGGUACGCGAGCUGGGUUCAGAACGUCGUGAGACAGUUCGGUCCAUAUCCGGUGUAGGCGUUAGAAUAUUGAGAGGAGCCUUCUUUAGUACGAGAGGACCGAGAAGGACAUACCUCUGGUGUACCAGUUAUCGUGCCAACGGUAAACGCUGGGUAGCUAUGUAUGGAGUGGAUAACCGCUGAAAGCAUCUAAGUGGGAAGCCCACCUCAAGAUAAG
This 1213-nucleotide ribosomal RNA is filed under the name metagenome. RNAcentral's name for it is "bacterial LSU rRNA". It matches the Rfam family "Bacterial large subunit ribosomal RNA", at positions 1586 to 2808 of the family's 2925-position model. The record is from RNAcentral.